GCGGUGUUUGGCACCUCGAUGUCGGCUCAUCACAUCCUGGGGCUGAAGCCGGUCCCAAGGGUAUGGCUGUUCGCCAUUUAAAGUGGUACGCGAGCUGGGUUUAGAACGUCGUGAGACAGUUCGGUCCCUAUCUGCCGUGGACGUUUGAGAUUUGAGAGGGGCUGCUCCUAGUACGAGAGGACCGGAGUGGACGAACCUCUGGUGUUCCGGUUGUCACGCCAGUGGCAUUGCCGGGUAGCUAUGUUCGGAAGAGAUAACCGCUGAAAGCAUCUAAGCGGGAAACUUGCCUCAAGAUGAGAUCUCACUGGGAUCUUGAAUCCCCUAAAGGGCCGUCGAAGACUACGACGUUGAUAGGUUGGGUGUGUAAGCGCUGUGAGGCGUUGAGCUAACCAAUACUAAUUGCCCGUGAGGCUUGACCAU
Molecule: ribosomal RNA, 420 nt
Filed under: Gilvimarinus gilvus
Lineage: Bacteria; Pseudomonadati; Pseudomonadota; Gammaproteobacteria; Cellvibrionales; Cellvibrionaceae
Description: partial 23S ribosomal RNA
Rfam family: Bacterial large subunit ribosomal RNA
Source: RNAcentral